CCACAAAAUCCAAAACAAAAACUAUUAAUGCUAGGAAUUUCACUGCAAUCACUCUUGCAGUCCUCCACCAUAAAAUCAACCCCCCCAGCCACACACCACCAGGCUACAUUAUUUAAGAUGUGCCUUUUUAAUGUGAGAUCGCUCACCAACGAAACUUUUAUCCUUAAUGAUCUUAUCACUUCUAGAGAUUUUGAUUUCAUGUUUUUAACUGAGACAUAGAUGAGGCCAAAUGAUUAGUCAGCUUGCUGAAUUAUGUCCUCCAGAAUAUGAUAGCUUUAGCUUGCAUAGACCCAGUGGCCUAUGGAGCCAGAACGGUGACUUUAAAAUUUGGCAUCCAAAAAAAAAAAAUUGGCAUUGAAAACAAAGCCAGUACUGAAAAAGGAAACAUUGGCAUUGAAGCAUUUGUAUUGAAAACAGUUGUAUUGGCAUUGAAACAAGUAUUGGCACUGAAACAAGAAACUAAUUAAAAUAAUUAAAAUCUGAAAAUCUUAUUAUUUUAUUUUAUUGGGAUUUUUUUGUAUUUUUCAAUGACAAUCUUCAGAUUUUUUCUUCAUGCCACUUUUUUUUCAGUGACAGAUUUUUUUACAAUGUCACUUUUUUUUCAGUGUCACUGAUUUUCAGUUUCAACUUUCUGUCACUGUUUUGGCGUGGAGAGGGGGGGGUCUGAGGGGAGGGGCAAGUAGACCGUGGUUUGCAUAUAAUUUGCAUAUCGGCAUACUGAAGACGUACGUCUCUUUUCCGAACCCGCCAUCCGCUCGGAAGCCUCUGGCAUGGUGGCUUUACUAAGAUGUCAUGUUCACCGGGAACUUCCAAACCGCAAGAGUUAGAGGCCAGUGUUAUUGCUGCUGCACAAGGCCUCAUAAACGUGCUAACGCAAAAUAUUCAGCAGCAUCACACCCCAGCACAGCAGAAUCCAGUGCAGUCACAUGAGCAACAGAAUCCACAAGCACAAACAACAAAACAAACAGUGCAGGAGGAGAUGGCCAGGUCAUUUCCUGGCUUCUUUACCAAAAGGAAAGGCAAAAACCGCUUUACACCCUUACAAACCACUCCAGGGAAGCCGA
Molecule: long non-coding RNA, 1064 nt
Organism: Epinephelus fuscoguttatus (brown-marbled grouper)
Lineage: Eukaryota; Metazoa; Chordata; Actinopteri; Perciformes; Serranidae
Exons: 3
Source: RefSeq, a predicted model, not a curated record